Molecule: long non-coding RNA, 1354 nt
Organism: Prionailurus viverrinus (fishing cat)
Lineage: Eukaryota; Metazoa; Chordata; Mammalia; Carnivora; Felidae
Exons: 2
Source: RefSeq, a predicted model, not a curated record
UCCUCGUGCUUCCCGCCCCCGCCCUGAGCGGAGCGGCUCGUCGCGCGGGGCGCUGGGUGGGCCGGCGACAGGUGGCCGGACAUCAGGUGGCAGGUCCGAAGGGCGGCCUGCGCCGGCACGCCCCGCCCCGCCCAGGUGUGGCGGGCAGAGCCGGCGUCCCCGUCGGUACGAUUAUCAACAACAACGACGGCCCCGGUCAAAGCACGUGCUCACCUGCGGCGCGGACGCCGGGCGGGGCGCGGGUGGCGUCGGAGGCCGGCCCCCCCCCCCCCCCCCCCCCGGGAGGAAGCGGGGUCGGGCGCGACCGCCGCAGAGGACGCGGGAGCCGGGCGAGGUUGGGCCGAGAGCCCGAGGCCGCCCCUCCGCACCUGGCCCCGCGCUCUCCGUGACGGAUUCCAGGUCAGGGCCGGAAACGCCACCGCCGCCAGCGCAGACAAGGUGGCGCCACCCAAACACCUGCUGGGCUGGGCCUGAGAAAGUGGCCCCAGGGGCGAGGCAGUACCCUCGCUCUAGGGUGUCCCUUGACGGAGCCUUCCACACCCUGGAGGUUUCAGCAGCCCUAAAACCACAGCGACACCGGCAGGCUCUGCACAGCAGAGGGAAAGUCACCGUUCACUGCGACCCGCGGAAUGUCAUCGGAUGGAAAGCACUGCUGAAGAAAGUGAAAACGCAAAGAAGUUUGCCAUUGACGAGAGACGCGCGUAGAGUUCGGUCUCCAGAUGAGGCUAAGCUGUGUCAAAACAAAACAAAACAAAGCAAAGCAAAACAAAAAGCACCCACGCGCGCCCUCCACGACAGGUUUAGUGUGGGAUCGUGCAACUCGGAGCAACACGGGAGGCAUUAUUGUAACCUCAGUAAAAUGGAGUACUUCUUGGAAACCGUGCUGAUCGCUAUGGAGCUCUGAGAGGCAGGACACUUUCGGGGUUCCUUUUCUAGAACAGGCAGGGCUAUUAUAAUGAUCCUAUUAAUCGGAAAUCAUUAGGAACAUUUGCACAGCGAAGCUGUAUUUACAUACACUGCCCUUGAGAGGCUGCCGGUCUGUGCCUUGCAGUGUGGGUGGCAAAGUAAUGUGAUUAAUUAUGCACAAAUCUGAUUUCUCGUGUCACAUUCCAGCACUGAUAGUAUUUUUUAAGUUUUGCGAAAGGGAGGUGGCUCUAGCCGUUGACCGAAGUCUUCCCACUUAAAAAAAAAUUGUUAUGUAUGAGGUUUGAAAUCCUUCCAGCCCUAGUACUGGAUGCAGCUUCAGGUUUUGGGUUGUUUUUUUUUUUUUUUCCUUUUUUCCCUCUGUAAAUCUGUAGGAAGUUCUUCCUGCAGUCUAAAGUUUGCAGCUUAUUUAAAUACCUUCCAGUUAAUU